AUUGUGUUAAACAGUCAUCGUUUCAGUGUCUUAACCAUAGAGACACUGUAGCCUCGACUGAUAAAGCCAUAAUGUAUUUGUAAUACAAGAAGAAGAAUCAUGUUCGUGAACACGGCAUUAGUCGUUAUUUCUUUAUUGAUUGGAUUGCACGUCACAGGAGGCAUCUCUGUGGACGAUGAAGUUUAUCAGAUUCCGCAUCGGCGCAUGGCUAAUGGAAUGACUGGCCCCGUGUACCAGCACAUGGGUGUUCUCAGUCAGGAAAAGGCUUUAGAAUUUAAUAAGGAAUUACUCCAGGCGCAGUCUCGUGGACGGGUGGCUAAGCUGAUGCCUGCAGUGUUUCUAGAAUCCCAUUUCCAGAGAACUCCACAGAGGCAAUCAGAUGUCAACUUCCUGCAAAACAUUGACCAUGUGGAGAACAAGCCUGUAUCUGCCCACGAUACGGUCACAAUGGAGGAGAAUGAUGACAUCGAGCUGUAUGUGUCGUCUGUUGGAGCAUCAGAACCCGUGGCCCAUGAGGAAAUGAUCCGAUUGCUCAACAUCAACACCCUUCACCACAGCUCUGGGCCGCUUGCCACCACUGAGGCAUCCACUGAGGUUUGUGUCUCAAGAACUCUAGGAUGAAGUUACAGUCUGCUGCUAAAC
This 642-nucleotide long non-coding RNA is filed under the name Sinocyclocheilus anshuiensis. Its description in RNAcentral is "lncRNA (ENSSANG00000028058.1)". The record is from RNAcentral. Lineage: Eukaryota; Metazoa; Chordata; Actinopteri; Cypriniformes; Cyprinidae.